CCUACGGGAGGCAGCAGUGAGGAAUAUUGGUCAAUGGACGCGAGUCUGAACCAGCCAAGUAGCGUGAAGGAUGACUGCCCUAUGGGUUGUAAACUUCUUUUGUAUGGGAGUAAAAUAUUCCACGUGUGGGGUUUUGUGUGUACCCUAUGAAUAAGGAUCGGCUAACUCCGUGCCAGCAGCCGCGGUAAUACGGAGGAUCCGAGCGUUAUCCGGAUUUAUUGGGUUUAAAGGGAGCGUAGGUGGAUUGUUAAGUAAGUGGUGAAAGUUUGCGGCUCAACCGUAAAAUUGCAGUUGAAACUGGCAGUCUUGAGUACAGUAGAGGUGUGCGGAAUGCGUGGUGUAGCGGUGAAAUGCUUAGAUAUCACGAAGAACUCCGAUUGCGAAGGCAGUUCACUGGACUGCAACUGACACUGAGGCUCGAAAGUGUGGGUAUCAAACAGGAUUAGAUACCCCAGUAGUC
RNAcentral lists this ribosomal RNA (460 nucleotides) under uncultured bacterium. Its description in RNAcentral is "partial 16S ribosomal RNA". It matches the Rfam family "Bacterial small subunit ribosomal RNA", at positions 338 to 795 of the family's 1533-position model. The record is from RNAcentral.